This 871-nucleotide ribosomal RNA is filed under the name uncultured archaeon. RNAcentral describes it as "bacterial SSU rRNA". It matches the Rfam family "Archaeal small subunit ribosomal RNA", at positions 5 to 872 of the family's 1478-position model. The record is from RNAcentral.
CGGUUGAUCCCGCCGGAGGUCACUGCUAUCCGAAUCCGACUAAGCCAUGCAAGUCCCGGUGUUCAUUUCUGGACGCCGUGGCGGAAAGCUCAGUAACACGUAGUUAACAUUCCCUCGAGUCCGGGAUAAUCUCGGGAAACUGAGGCUAAUACCGGAUAGACAAGGGGUACUGGAAUGUCCCCUUGCCAAAAGUCCGCGCUCGAGGAUUGGACUGCGGCGGAUUAGGUUGUUGCCAGGGUAACGUCCUGGCAAGCCGAUAAUCUGUACGAGCCUUGAGAGAGGAAGCUCGGAGAUGGAUUCUGAGACAAGAAUCCAGGUGCUACGGGACGCAGCAGGCGCGAAACUUUCCCAAUGCACGAAAGUGUGAGGAAGGGAUUUGGAGUGCUCUCCCUACUUUAGGGGGAGCUUUUGUGGAGCGUUUAUAGCUCCAAGAAUAAGUGGUGGGUAAGACGGGUGCCAGCCGCCGCGGUAAUACCCGCGCCACGAGUGGUGACCACGAUUAUUGGGCUUAAAGCGUUCGUAGCCGGUUCAGAAAGUCUUUAGUGAAAUCCCAUAGCUAACUAUGGGGCCUGCUAGGGAAACUACUGGGCUAGGGACCGGGAGAGGUCUGGGGUAUUCCAGGGGUAGGGGUAAAAUCCUGUAAUCCUUGGGAGACCACCUGUGGCGAAGGCGCCAGACCAGAACGGAUCCGACGGUGAGGGACGAAAGCUGGGGGAGCAAAGGGGAUUAGAUACCCCCCGUAGUCCCAGCUGUAAACGAUGCCCACUAGACAUUGGCAAUCUCACGGGGGUUGCCAGUGCCGUAGCGAAAGCGUUAAGUGGGCCGCCUGGGGAGUACNGUCGCAAGGCUGAAACUUAAGGGAAUUGGCGGG